Molecule: RNA transcript, 3041 nt
Organism: Bactrocera dorsalis (oriental fruit fly)
Lineage: Eukaryota; Metazoa; Arthropoda; Insecta; Diptera; Tephritidae
Gene name: Down syndrome cell adhesion molecule-like protein Dscam2
Exons: 9
Source: RefSeq, a predicted model, not a curated record
CUUAGGCAUGAUUGCAUUCUGGUUUCUAAGCAUUUAGCUGCAUUAUUACUGGUGGGGAUUGGAGCAGCUGUCCGGCUUGGACUGCUUCUUUGCUUAUCUACUGUUAGUAUCAGCAAUCAUCGCACUUAACGUUACUUUCUCGUACAACGGAAAUUAAAUCUUUUAAUGCUAUGAAUUUUAUCUGUAAUUAGCCAUCUUAUAACUGUAAAUGCACACAUCAACAAAGCGACAAAUUGACAUGUAACCUAGUGCUUCAUAUAUAUUCACUCCUUUGCUUUAUUUAUUUUUUUGUUGGUUCUUUCAGAUGCUUCAAACUACUUUGAAACUCAAGAACCUAAAUUUUCGCAUGAGUCGCCAUCGCGCAUCGAACUCACUGCUGAUUUCACAGCGCAUGAUAAUCCAAAGCCGAAUGUCGAAUGGUUGGACAAGGACAAUAAUCCCAUCACCCCGAUAUCAAAUUUGUAAAUCAACGUUACGAACCGGAAGUGCAAAAUCAAGGAGCUUUUAUUGGCAGCAAUGUGUUAAUUAAAUGUAAUAUUCUGUCGUUUGUUAAGGAAUAUGUAACGGUAAUAUCAUAGCUGUAGGAACCGAAUUUCAAUAUAUAUCCCUCGCUAGAAGGAGGCGAGUAGAAAUUAUAUGUUUAAAUAAUUAAAAGUACAGUGAGGUCACUAUGAGAGAAGUCAUAUAUACAAAAAAUUAUAAUUAAUCCCAAUUAAUCGUUAUGGAAAAAAAGCUCACAACGUGAAUGUCAAGAGCAGUUACUAAAAACCUUCUCUAAAAUCAGCUUGAAGCAUAUUUGUUUAGGAAAUGCCUAAAAAGGAAUAUCAGUAUUAUGUUACAAAAGUUCUAAAAUUCCAACUACUUUCGAAAUUCCAAAAAAAAAGAAUACAAACCCAUGUCAAAAUUUAAUCUACGCAACUAUUUGCAUUUCAUUAGUCUAUAAAAAACAUUUGCAGAUUUAGUGAACCAAAAAAGAGCAGUGAAAAACGCCAAACCAAGAGCGCCAUUCAUCACCAAAGCACAACCAGCCAUCAGCAGUCAACAACAGGUUUCCUCCUCCACGCUACACUUUCAGACUUCCGUCUCCAGCGCUACGAGUUUUGAAAGCUCGGAGUUUCAGUAUGGAACACCCGCACCGACCAAGGGCUUACUCGGCCAUUGUCCAUCUUUCAUCGAGCUAGCUCGCUCCACAUACAAUCCUUGUUGAAAACUUUAUUAUUAUUAUUUGCCGCAACUGACCAAAACUAUUUUAAUACCGAGUCACAUUUGAGUGCCCUGAGUUAUUAGGAAUGCAUUCGUGGAUGAGCGCAUUUAGUUGUAGUUAAGUAUCUAGCGAAAAAAGUUUGACAACGAAUCAACAAAUGAAAGCAGCAGUAAAAUAAAACAAAUGAAUACAUUUUUGCACACCACAUUUCCUUACGGUUUAGUGGACUUUUGCCAAUUCGUUUUAUCGCUUCUUUGUACACAUUUUCUCACAAUCGUUACUCUCUAUUUUUAGAUGGGUAAAAUCAUAUGCUACCGAACGGCGAACUUCUGGUGUACAACAUCACUCGCACCGAUGCGCACAAAGUUUAUCGCUGCCGCUCCCACACAAGUUGACGCAGGACUGCGUUGUGAGCAGCAAUAUGGGCAAAAUUCAAUUGACUGAAAUGCGUGAACUUGUGCCGCCCUUUAUGAAUGAGAAGGCCACAAGUGUGGUGGCACGUUGGGCGAUCCCGUUGUGGCCAUGAGUGGCAUACGUGAACCCGAAGCUAGUCUAUCGCUGACAUACGAAACGACCAAACAACGAGGAGUCCAUUGAGAAUUUGCUUGCAACGGUCGUGCAAAAAUCAAGGAAGGCACGCUAAUUAUAUUCGCAGUCGAUCGGUCCGACAGCGGAGUUCUUCUGCACUGCCACCAACUCGGAAGGCAGCGAAACUUUGGAAGUAAAAAUAGCUGUUAUAUCACCGCUUACUGCCAGCAUCCAACCCACCAUGCAAACAUUGAAUCUUGUCAAAACCGCAAACUUGAUUUGCUGCAUUUCGGGCUUCCCAAAACAGUGUGUUAUUUGGCUCAGUCAGCCACUGCUUUCCGGCGCAUGCGUCCGUCUACUCUCCACAGUGCACAGAGAUGUAUCAGGGUAUUGUGAAAAUGAUGUGGAGUCGGCCCAAGCCACAGCGAAAUUGCGACUAGGAGGUGUGCCAUAUGUGCGCAUGAUGCCGAAGCUAUCUACUGUGGCGGAAAAGUCCUCUUUUCUCAAAUGCCCUGUGGCAGGAUAUCCAAUCGACAGCAUCAUCACAGAGAAAGCUCUGCGUUUGUACCGUCGGUCGGUUUCAAUGUGAAGAAUACCUUGCGAACGAAAUUCUCCUUCUGCGAGCAUUUCCGCUCAACGAGUUUAUUGCAUAUUGUAUAGAGUACGAAUGUGGCAUGCAGCAUGUGAUGGCGUCAGAAUGCCAAUGAAGAAUGUGUUCAAAACGGCUCCCUACUCAUCGAGAAUGUGCAACGUACCGCCGAUCAGGCAACCUAGACUUACAUUGCUCGCAACAAACCCAACUACACGGCGGAACGGACGGUGGAGGUGAAAGUUUUGGUUAUUAAAUGAUAAUUGUUUUCCACGACGACUUUAGUCGAUAAAAGGUGACCAAUUAUAACCGCUGUCGUUUCAUCGCCAGAGCCGCUAGUCGACACGAGGAGCAUGGUGUAUUGAAGAAGUGGCGGUUUCAUCCAUAAACUUAACGAAAGUAAAAAUUUCCAAUAAUUUACGCAAUACGUACUUAGAAACAAAUCAUCCACUUAGAUCGUCAUGGCGCACAAGAAUCAAAACAUAGGAGCUGCAUAAUCUUAAUGACUUGGGUAGUGGCAAUAAGGUUGGUGUGCGAAAUUCGCAUAAGAAAAAUUUAUGCUGAAGCCGAAAAGAAACUCACAGGAAAAGUUAUAAAGAAAGCUACAACUGAUACCAGCUCUCUGCCAAUAAACUGGUUGCUAUAAAUUCUUUUUUGUAGUCCUUCAUUUAAACCCAUAUUAAGAAUAUCAAGGGUUGUAGCGGAAUAAAUGAAAUAUAA